This 92-nucleotide non-coding RNA is filed under the name Pseudomonas rhizosphaerae. RNAcentral describes it as "Pseudomonas sRNA P14". It matches the Rfam family "Pseudomonas sRNA P14", at positions 55 to 146 of the family's 146-position model. The record is from Rfam by way of RNAcentral. Lineage: Bacteria; Pseudomonadati; Pseudomonadota; Gammaproteobacteria; Pseudomonadales; Pseudomonadaceae.
GUGGAUUUUUUUUCAUCUCUUGCGCUGCGUCCGUUUACUUACUACAAGUAAUGAGUAGUAUGUACGGCGGCUAGUUUCUCAUUCAUGAGAAA